UGAGAAGUAAUUAAACUAAACAGCCAGCGGGGUUUAUGAGGAUAUGACACAUGACACCUUCCAGCUUCCUGAUGUGUGCCACGCUACCCAGCAGCGUAUAUAUAGACGCCGGCCGUCCAGGCAGCGCUAUCACCGCAGCCAGCCGACUUCUCCUGACCCACUGACCAGCCGCUCAACAUGCAACCCAAAGGUAGUACCGGGGAGAGCUCUUACCCCACUGCCCUGCAGGACAGAAAUCUGCUUGGGUAUGGCUGCAAACUGCAGGGGAGGGAAGGGAACAGAAGGGAAAGGCCACGAUGAGGGUGGGAGAUGCUCAAAGCCCAGCUGGAGCAGCCCUGCACCAGCUGCUGCAGCCGACCCAGCCUGCAUGUGUGCUCCCCGCGCCUUCCCUUCUGCUGGAACUGGGGUGCUGCAACUCUGUGCCAUCUGCUCCACAGGCGUCUCGCUCAAAAUGAAGGUCCUCCUGCUGUCUUGCAUCGUGAGCAUGGUCCUUGCCGUUGCCAACGCUCAUCACCAUGACAGUGAUAGCUCUAGUGGGGACAGUUCGGAGGAGAACCCAAGACGACCCUUCCGGCCCUUUCGCCCCAUAUUUCGCCCCAUCCUGAGAAGGGGCAGGGCUGUGAGCUAUUACGCAUGACAAGUCUGAGGUAAGCAACCUAUCUUGCUGUACAAAAAUACAUCUGCUCUAUCAUGACAUUUUCCCAGUUCUCACUGUUAAUAUUUUAAUUGUGCAAGAAAUUUUGUGGCCCAAGCAAGAACUGAGAUCUAGACAUGAAGAUACUGGAACAGGCGUAAAGCAGUGGUGCUCUGCACAAUGUACUGUGUAACAUCAGGUACUCCAGCUGAAAAUGGUCUAACCAGAAAUCUUUCUUGGGAACAAACGACUACCAAAAAACAUAUCCAAGCCCCCGUGCCCCUGCCAGACUGGCUUGAAUAGAAAACUGCUAAGGACAGGGAAAUCAUUACAGAAUUUUUCCUUCCACAAAUAACACACCACCCUUGUGCAGUUUUUAAAUCUCAUCCAGCAGGAUACUUUCAGUGAUUUUCAUUUCCUUCAGCAUUGCACAUUAUCUUAAUCACUUCACAGAGAAGAAAGAAACAUGCUACUUGGACUUGCCACACUCUAGCCAGACGUAUAUCCAGCUGUCAGGAGCUGCCCAGCUACCUCCCGUGAACACAGAAACAGCCUCCUCUUGGGGCUAAGGGUUCAUAUAAAGCAUUCAUUGAGACGUUAAAACAAUUAACUGCUCUUGGUUCUAACCUGCAAUUCUCCUACUGCUCUGCAGGUGCCUACCUGGAUAACCAUGGCUGUCUCCUGCAGGACGCUGCUGCUUCUAGAUGAUCUUCUACUUCCCACCUCUCCUU
This 1365-nucleotide long non-coding RNA is filed under the name Anas platyrhynchos platyrhynchos (common mallard). RNAcentral describes it as "lncRNA (ENSAPLG00000024170.1)". Lineage: Eukaryota; Metazoa; Chordata; Aves; Anseriformes; Anatidae. The record is from RNAcentral.